AGAGUUUGAUUCUGGCUCAGGAUGAACGCUAGCUACAGGCUUAACACAUGCAAGCGAGGGGCAGCAUUGGAGUAGCAAUACUUCAGAUGGCGACCGGCGCACGGGUGAGUAACACGUAUCCAACCUGCCGCUUACUCGGGGAUAGCCUUUCGAAAGAAAGAUUAAUACCCGAUGGUAUAAAGAGUUCGCAUGUUCUCUUUAUUAAAGAAUUUCGGUAAGCGAUGGGGAUGCGUUCCAUUAGAUAGUUGGCGGGGUAACGGCCCACCAAGUCUACGAUGGAUAGGGGUUCUGAGAGGAAGGUCCCCCACAUUGGAACUGAGACACGGUCCAAACUCCUACGGGAGGCAGCAGUGAGGAAUAUUGGUCAAUGGACGAGAGUCUGAACCAGCCAAAGUAGCGUGAAGGAUGACUGCCCUAUGGGUUGUAAACUUCUUUUAUAAGGGAAUAAAGUGAGGGACGUGUCCCUUUUUGUAUGUACCUUAUGAAUAAGGAUCGGCUAACUCCGUGCCAGCCGCCGC
This 518-nucleotide ribosomal RNA is filed under the name uncultured bacterium. RNAcentral describes it as "bacterial SSU rRNA". It matches the Rfam family "Bacterial small subunit ribosomal RNA", at positions 8 to 518 of the family's 1533-position model. The record is from RNAcentral.